RNAcentral lists this ribosomal RNA (301 nucleotides) under uncultured bacterium. RNAcentral describes it as "partial 16S ribosomal RNA". It matches the Rfam family "Bacterial small subunit ribosomal RNA", at positions 509 to 807 of the family's 1533-position model. The record is from RNAcentral.
CAGCAGCCGCGGGAAUACGGAGGGUGCAAGCGUUAAUCGGAAUUACUGGGCGUAAAGCGCACGCAGGCGGUUUGUUAAGUCAGAUGUGAAAUCCCCGAGCUUAACUUGGGAACUGCAUUUGAAACUGGCAAGCUAGAGUCUUGUAGAGGGGGGUAGAAUUCCAGGUGUAGCGGUGAAAUGCGUAGAGAUCUGGAGGAAUACCGGUGGCGAAGGCAGCCCCCUGGGCCAAUACUGACGCUCAUGCACGAAAGCGUGGGGAGCAAACAGGAUUAGAUACCCUCGUAGUCCCUGUCUCUUAUAC